AUCAUGGCUCAGGACGAACGCUGGCGGCGUGCUUAACACAUGCAAGUCGAACGAGGAUUAUUGAGCGGAAGGCUUCGGCCGGAAGGUUGAUAAUUCGAGUGGCGGACGGGUGAGUAACGCGUGAACAAUCUGUCCCAGACAGGGGGAUAACACUUGGAAACAGGUGCUAAUACCGCAUAAGACCACAGAAUCGCAUGGUACAGGGGUAAAAGGAGCAAUCCGGUUUGGGGUGAGUUCGCGUCCGAUUAGCCAGUUGGGGGGUAACGGCCCACCAAAGCGACGAUCGGUAGCCGACCUGAGAGGGUGAUCGGCCACAUUGGAACUGAGAGACGGUCCAAACUCCUACGGGAGGCAGCAGUGGGGAAUAUUGGGCAAUGGGCGAAAGCCCUGACCCAGCAACGCCGCGUGAGGGAAGAAGGGUUUCGGCUCGUAAACCUCUGUCCUAUGGGACGAAGGAAGUGACGGUACCAUAGGAGGAAGCCCCGGCUAACUACGUGCCAGCCGCAGC
Molecule: ribosomal RNA, 508 nt
Filed under: uncultured bacterium
Lineage: Bacteria
Description: bacterial SSU rRNA
Rfam family: Bacterial small subunit ribosomal RNA
Source: RNAcentral